GAUGAACGCUAGCGGCAGGCCUAAUACAUGCAAGUCGAACGAGCUUAGUUCUUUCGGGAACUAGGUUAGUGGCGCACGGGUGCGUAACGCGUAUGCAACCUACCUUCCACUGGGGGAUAGCCCACCGAAAGGUGGAUUAAUACCGCAUGACACAUUUGGGUGGCAUCACCUGAUUGUCAAAGCUGAGGCGGUGGAAGAUGGGCAUGCGUGCCAUUAGCUAGUUGGUAGGGUAACGGCCUACCAAGGCGACGAUGGCUAGGGGUUCUGAGAGGGUGGUCCCCCACACUGGUACUGAGACACGGACCAGACUCCUACGGGAGGCAGCAGUAGGGAAUAUUGGGCAAUGGCCGAGAGGCUGACCCAGCCAUGCCGCGUACAGGAAGAAGGCCUUCUGGGUUGUAAACUGCUUUUAUCUAGGAAGAAAACGCCCUUGCGAGGGUAACUGACGGUACUAGAUGAAUAAGCACCGGCUAACUCCGUGCCAGCCGCCGCCGUAA
This 497-nucleotide ribosomal RNA is filed under the name uncultured bacterium. RNAcentral's name for it is "partial 16S ribosomal RNA". It matches the Rfam family "Bacterial small subunit ribosomal RNA", at positions 28 to 523 of the family's 1533-position model. The record is from RNAcentral.